GGAGCUACCAUGCAGUCGAGCGGUAGCACAGAGAGCUUGCUCUCGGGUGACGAGCGGCGGACGGGUGAGUAAUGUCUGGGAAACUGCCUGAUGGAGGGGGAUAACUACUGGAAACGGUAGCUAAUACCGCAUAACGUCGCAAGACCAAAGUGGGGGACCUUCGGGCCUCAUGCCAUCAGAUGUGCCCAGAUGGGAUUAGCUGGUAGGUGGGGUAACGGCUCACCUAGGCGACGAUCCCUAGCUGGUCUGAGAGGAUGACCAGCCACACUGGAACUGAGACACGGUCCAGACUCCUACGGGAGGCAGCAGUGGGGAAUAUUGCACAAUGGGCGCAAGCCUGAUGCAGCCAUGCCGCGUGUGUGAAGAAGGCCUUCGGGUUGUAAAGCACUUUCAGCGGGGAGGAAGGCGGUGAGGUUAAUAACCUCAUCGAUUGACGUUACCCGCAGAAGAAGCACCGGCUAACUCCGUGCCAGCAGCCGCGGUAAUACGGAGGGUGCAAGCGUUAAUCGGAAUUACUGGGCGUAAAGCGCACGCAGGCGGUCUGUCAAGUCGGAUGUGAAAUCCCCGGGCUCAACCUGGGAACUGCAUUCGAAACUGGCAGGCUAGAGUCUUGUAGAGGGGGGUAGAAUUCCAGGUGUAGCGGUGAAAUGCGUAGAGAUCUGGAGGAAUACCGGUGGCGAAGGCGGCCCCCUGGACAAAGACUGACGCUCAGGUGCGAAAGCGUGGGGAGCAAACAGGAUUAGAUACCCUGGUAGUCCACGCUGUAAACGAUGUCGAUUUGGAGGUUGUGCCCUUGAGGCGUGGCUUCCGGAGCUAACGCGUUAAAUCGACCGCCUGGGGAGUACGGCCGCAAGGUUAAAACUCAAAUGAAUUGACGGGGGCCCGCACAAGCGGUGGAGCAUGUGGUUUAAUUCGAUGCAACGCGAAGAACCUUACCUGGUCUUGACAUCCACAGAACUUUCCAGAGAUGGAUUGGUGCCUUCGGGAACUGUGAGACAGGUGCUGCAUGGCUGUCGUCAGCUCGUGUUGUGAAAUGUUGGGUUAAGUCCCGCAACGAGCGCAACCCUUAUCCUUUGUUGCCAGCGGUUAGGCCGGGAACUCAAAGGAGACUGCCAGUGAUAAACUGGAGGAAGGUGGGGAUGACGUCAAGUCAUCAUGGCCCUUACGACCAGGGCUACACACGUGCUACAAUGGCAUAUACAAAGAGAAGCGACCUCGCGAGAGCAAGCGGACCUCAUAAAGUAUGUCGUAGUCCGGAUUGGAGUCUGCAACUCGACUCCAUGAAGUCGGAAUCGCUAGUAAUCGUAGAUCAGAAUGCUACGGUGAAUACGUUCCCGGGCCUUGUACACACCGCCCGUCACACCAUGGGAGUGGGUUGCAAAAGAAGUAGGUAGCUUAACCUUCGGGAGGGCGCUACCACU
RNAcentral lists this ribosomal RNA (1421 nucleotides) under Klebsiella variicola. Its description in RNAcentral is "bacterial SSU rRNA". It matches the Rfam family "Bacterial small subunit ribosomal RNA". The record is from RNAcentral. Lineage: Bacteria; Pseudomonadati; Pseudomonadota; Gammaproteobacteria; Enterobacterales; Enterobacteriaceae.